Long non-coding RNA from Cyprinus carpio carpio, 896 nucleotides. Lineage: Eukaryota; Metazoa; Chordata; Actinopteri; Cypriniformes; Cyprinidae. The record is from Ensembl.
UUUAUCGCUUUGAAAUCACGUUCAAGAAGUCUCAUUCAGCACACAUCGCGAUACUUGCCAUCAGUUUACAAGAGCCGCAGGUUGGGUGAGUUAUACAGUCUAUGCUGAAAAGACAUAAAGGAAGCAGUCACCCCAGUGGUGUUUGUGGAGAGGUAUUCCUUCAGAAAUGGAGAAGACAGAAAGCUGCAGAGGCAGGAUUGUUUGCAGAUAAUGCUGUUCUUCUUUUUCAGAAGUUUUUGGUGAGCCAACUCUCACAAACCUUCCUAAAAACUAAAAGAGCUAUUACUGAGUCUCGGCUAAUCUUGCCAUGGUCAGCUCUUCCCAGAAGAGAAGGAAGACCAAGGAAAUUAUUUGCUCAGGAUGAGAAAUGAAGAUGGCCAUCUUGUGCUCAAACAAACAGAAGUCCUCUGAUGAUCUCAUCAGCCAAAUGAGGGGUUUUGACCAAGUGAUGCUCUUGAAAGGAGUGAAAGAAGAGGAUGUGGUAAAUUGUCUUAAAGCAGCUUGAAGAAUGGUCUGGGAUGUUAGGACUGAGAGAUCCUCUGACUGAGAGAAGCUACACCACAUCAGUGCUGGAUAUCAACCACAAACUGUUUCCAGACACGAGAGAAGAAGAUCAUGAUGGGGAGAUGAAACCAGUUUAGAUGUGAUGAUAAGGAAUCAUUAUUUUCUGAAACAGGAUCAAAUGUCUUAUAUGUAUCACAUGAUCUGUAUCACAGUUGACUGGAUGGGACUGUGUGACUCUUUAAGUACAUUUCAUCACUCAUCUGUGUGAACUGAUUAAUAUAUGAGGUUAAUGUAUUUUUGAUUAUGAAUAAUUAUUUUCCUUGAAUCUUAUUUGUCUUGAUGCUACUUUAUCAUCUGUAUAGUCUAUGCUUCAAUAAAAUGAAAAUUGUGAA